This is a long non-coding RNA of Lactuca sativa (garden lettuce), 629 nucleotides long. RefSeq lists it as uncharacterized. The record is from RefSeq and is a predicted model, not a curated record. NCBI's taxonomy places the organism in Eukaryota, Viridiplantae, Streptophyta, Magnoliopsida, Asterales, Asteraceae.
UCCAAAUUAUCUGAUCCAAAUUUAAGAUCACGCAUCUAAAAAUUCAAACAUCUGAACACAAAUUAUCCGAUCCAAAUCGUAAGAUCACACAUCUAAAAAUUCAAACAUCUUAACAGUCCAAUCCAAAUGGUAAGAUACUAACAUUGGACAAUUAGGUACAAAUAUUGUAAAACCUUCCCUCAAAGUCAAACAGCGUAUCUGUCUCUUCGAUUCCCACGCCUAAUCGUUUCUUCCCCGACUUCAUCCAUCGCCGCCGUCGUCUGCUCCACUGCUGGCUCGUUCAUCCACCGGCGUCGCUGCCUAAUCCAGCACCGUCGGCUUGCUCUAACGUCCGUUGCUAUUGCGAAAGUAUUUCCUACACCAUCGUGACUUGCUUCAUCUGAUGAGCUUAAUAGACUCAAUCACUUCAAUGCAACAAAGUGGAAUCAUCAAGAUUUGAGUUGUGGAAAAUCACAGAAACAUAUAUCCAUUAGAUAUAUUUGAUUUAGGCGGUCCUUUUUGAGCCUUAAUAAUCUUCAUUUUUUUAACGGCUAGUUUUUUUAUAUUUUUGAUUUGGAUGGCUAUUUAGAUUUAUAUUUGGACCGUUGUUUGAUCAUAUUUUUUUGGUAAAAAUUUGGUUACAUAACUAA